CGRCUCACCAUGUUGACKAUCAGUAGCCUGAWUGAGAGGUUGAACGGMCACAUUGGGAKUGAGACWCGGCCCAGACUCYUACGGGAGGCAGCAGUGGGGAAUAUUGCACAAUGGGGGAAACCCUGAUGCAGMGAUGCCGCGUGGAGGAAGAAGGUUUUCGGAUUKUAAACUYCUGUCUUAAAGGACGAUAAUGACGGUACUUUAAG
RNAcentral lists this ribosomal RNA (206 nucleotides) under uncultured Bacillota bacterium. Its description in RNAcentral is "uncultured Firmicutes bacterium partial 16S ribosomal RNA". The record is from RNAcentral. Lineage: Bacteria; Bacillati; Bacillota.